RNAcentral lists this ribosomal RNA (1450 nucleotides) under Klebsiella pneumoniae. RNAcentral's name for it is "bacterial SSU rRNA". It matches the Rfam family "Bacterial small subunit ribosomal RNA". The record is from RNAcentral. Lineage: Bacteria; Pseudomonadati; Pseudomonadota; Gammaproteobacteria; Enterobacterales; Enterobacteriaceae.
GUCAAGGGGCGCAGCUACCAUGCAAGUCGAGCGGUAGCACAGAGAGCUUGCUCUCGGGUGACGAGCGGCGGACGGGUGAGUAAUGUCUGGGAAACUGCCUGAUGGAGGGGGAUAACUACUGGAAACGGUAGCUAAUACCGCAUAAUGUCGCAAGACCAAAGUGGGGGACCUUCGGGCCUCAUGCCAUCAGAUGUGCCCAGAUGGGAUUAGCUAGUAGGUGGGGUAACGGCUCACCUAGGCGACGAUCCCUAGCUGGUCUGAGAGGAUGACCAGCCACACUGGAACUGAGACACGGUCCAGACUCCUACGGGAGGCAGCAGUGGGGAAUAUUGCACAAUGGGCGCAAGCCUGAUGCAGCCAUGCCGCGUGUGUGAAGAAGGCCUUCGGGUUGUAAAGCACUUUCAGCGGGGAGGAAGGCGAUAAGGUUAAUAACCUUGUCGAUUGACGUUACCCGCAGAAGAAGCACCGGCUAACUCCGUGCCAGCAGCCGCGGUAAUACGGAGGGUGCAAGCGUUAAUCGGAAUUACUGGGCGUAAAGCGCACGCAGGCGGUCUGUCAAGUCGGAUGUGAAAUCCCCGGGCUCAACCUGGGAACUGCAUUCGAAACUGGCAGGCUAGAGUCUUGUAGAGGGGGGUAGAAUUCCAGGUGUAGCGGUGAAAUGCGUAGAGAUCUGGAGGAAUACCGGUGGCGAAGGCGGCCCCCUGGACAAAGACUGACGCUCAGGUGCGAAAGCGUGGGGAGCAAACAGGAUUAGAUACCCUGGUAGUCCACGCCGUAAACGAUGUCGAUUUGGAGGUUGUGCCCUUGAGGCGUGGCUUCCGGAGCUAACGCGUUAAAUCGACCGCCUGGGGAGUACGGCCGCAAGGUUAAAACUCAAAUGAAUUGACGGGGGCCCGCACAAGCGGUGGAGCAUGUGGUUUAAUUCGAUGCAACGCGAAGAACCUUACCUGGUCUUGACAUCCACAGAACUUAGCAGAGAUGCUUUGGUGCCUUCGGGAACUGUGAGACAGGUGCUGCAUGGCUGUCGUCAGCUCGUGUUGUGAAAUGUUUGGGUUAAGUCCCGCAACGAGCGCAACCCUUAUCCUUUGUUGCCAGCGGUUAGGCCGGGAACUCAAAGGAGACUGCCAGUGAUAAACUGGAGGAAGGUGGGGAUGACGUCAAGUCAUCAUGGCCCUUACGACCAGGGCUACACACGUGCUACAAUGGCAUAUACAAAGAGAAGCGACCUCGCGAGAGCAAGCGGACCUCAUAAAGUAUGUCGUAGUCCGGAUUGGAGUCUGCAACUCGACUCCAUGAAGUCGGAAUCGCUAGUAAUCGUAGAUCAGAAUGCUACGGUGAAUACGUUCCCGGGCCUUGUACACACCGCCCGUCACACCAUGGGAGUGGGUUGCAAAAGAAGUAGGUAGCUUAACCUUCGGGAGGGCGCAAACCAGCUUGGAUCCCUAUUCUC